This 540-nucleotide ribosomal RNA is filed under the name uncultured bacterium. Its description in RNAcentral is "bacterial SSU rRNA". It matches the Rfam family "Bacterial small subunit ribosomal RNA", at positions 777 to 1325 of the family's 1533-position model. The record is from RNAcentral.
AAUAGAUACCCGGGUAGUCUACGCCGUAAACGAUGGAUGCUAGCUGUAUUCGGUAUCGACCCCGGAUGUAGCGAAGCUAACGCGUUAAGCAUCCCGCCUGUGGAGUACGGUCGCAAGACUAAAACAUAAAGGAAUUGACGGGGACCCGCACAAGCGGUGGAGCGUGUUGUUUAAUUCGAUGGUAAGCGAAGAACCUUACCCAGGUUUGACAUCCUUGGAAUUUCUGCGAAAGCAGAGAGUGCUUUAUUGAGCCAAGUGACAGGUGAUGCAUGGCCGUCGUCAGCUCGUGUCGUGAGAUGUUUGGUUAAGUCCAUUAACGAGCGCAACCCUUGUAGUUAGUUGAAUUUUUCUAGCUAGACUGCCCCGGUAACGGGGAGGAAGGAGGGGAUGAUGUCAGGUCAGUAUUUCCCUUACAUCUGGGGUCUACAAACACGCUACAAUGGCCGGUACAAAGGGCAGCCAACCCCGGCGAGGGGGUAGCAAAUCCCGAUCAAAGCCGGUCUCAGUUCGGAUAGCAGGCUGAAACUCGCCUGCUUGAAG